Non-coding RNA from Cordylochernes scorpioides, 84 nucleotides. The record is from the annotation of a GenBank genome assembly. NCBI's taxonomy places the organism in Eukaryota, Metazoa, Arthropoda, Arachnida, Pseudoscorpiones, Chernetidae.
UGUUCAGGGAUGGGAAUCGAACCCACAGUGUUCCGCUUACCAGGCAGAUGCCAUGUCCACUAGGUUCGAUUCCCAUCCCUGGAC